This is a long non-coding RNA of Vicia villosa (hairy vetch), 1539 nucleotides long. RefSeq lists it as uncharacterized. Lineage: Eukaryota; Viridiplantae; Streptophyta; Magnoliopsida; Fabales; Fabaceae. The transcript is spliced from 2 exons. The record is from RefSeq and is a predicted model, not a curated record.
CUUAAGGUGGAUGAGUUGAACCGCGAGGCCGUUAUAGAAUUGAUGGCAUUGAAAGGCUACUAUACCAUAUUUAUAAUUUUAAAUUAAAAUGUUGAGAGGAGAAAAGUUAAUAAACUUUAUAACGUAAUGAGUGUUUUUUUUUUUCUUGAAGCUAGGAUUUGUAGUUUUUGAUCAAACGUGAUUUUUAUACUGUAAUUUAUUGUUCAACUCACUUUUGCAAGAAUUUCUCCAAACAUAAAUCACUUUACCUUUAACUCAAUUUAAUCCAGAAUCAUUUCACUCGAAAUCAAUUUUUUUUCACCGCAGAACCAAACAUACGCAUAGAAGUGAUUGUUAUCAAUUAAUGUUGUUUGAAUAGUUUUAACAAAAUUGAUUUUGAAUUGUAUAAUUACCAAAAUGGUAAUAAAUUCUAAUACAAAUUAAAAAGAAAAGAAGUAAUUGAUGAAAUUAAAGAGGGUAAAGUAGGAAAAUUUAAAAGAGUUGUAAUAAAUAAUAUAUAAUAAAUGUAGAAUUGAUUCUACCAAAUUCAAAAGCUAGGAAUUAUAGCUUCUACUAGAAUUGCUUUUGGAGGAGGAGAAUUGAUUUUGAAAAAGUAUUCAAACAAGAAAAAAAAACAAAUUUUCAAGUUGAAGUGGAUUAGAAGUGCUUUUGGGACUUGUAGAAGCCAAUCCAAACAUGCACUAAGGGUUGAGCAUUUUUGGGAGAUAUUAUUUGGGUUAGGAUGCAUUUCAAACUCCUUUGGGUAGUGAGAUUCAUUGGAGAAAGGAUCAUAACAUUCUAUCUGGAUCUCUCUUAGGAUCUUCACGUGGGUUGUCUGAAACGAAUAAGGGGUGAAAAUUAGGGAUUGUUCUUAGAGAACAUGAGAACUUGAUUUCUUAGCGGUCUAAGGAAGCAAAGUUCCACAUGGAUUUAUCUAUUCCACUGGGAACAUAAACAAUCAUGCAAGUACUUUCUUCGAGUUGUAAGAUUUGGAAAUGUUUCUGUAAUUCCAAAAGUCCAAAGACUCGAUAAUCAUUUCAGUAGCCCUAAAUACCAAUGGAUUUUUCAGUGGCAUUCUAAUAGUUUAUCUUGUUUCAUCCCCUCUACUUGUUGGGACCAUUCAUAGGCUUAAUAUUGCUCUAACAAUUUAAGUGCACCUCUAUGGGAGCACACUGGGGCCUCUAAAGUUAGGUCUAAAACAAUCAUUUCUCUAUUCCAUCUUAGACGUUUGUAAACAUAAGGCAUUGAAUCACUUUGAUAAGAUUGGUUGGAUUACUUCUUGUUAAGACUCAAAAUGUUUCUUUAGAAAUAGACAUCCCGUUAUCAGUUAUGGUCUGCUUCGGAAGCACUGAUCUUCUUUGAACUACAGCCCUAUUGGGACAUUUCAAGUAGGGGUAUAAGUGUGGUGAUCUCUAGGAGAAAAAUAAGUCCUUGUAUUCUUAGGAGGGUCAUAAAUUCUUCUUGGAUUCAUGAAUUUCCUUUGAUGAUUAUUUUCCUGGAAUAAGCUUCCUAUGUUGUUCACUACCUCAUUAUCUUAUAUCUCUUUGAAGUAUUAAAACA